Molecule: ribosomal RNA, 623 nt
Filed under: uncultured bacterium
Lineage: Bacteria
Description: bacterial SSU rRNA
Rfam family: Bacterial small subunit ribosomal RNA
Source: RNAcentral
GCAGUCGAGCGGUAACAUUUCUAGCUUGCUAGAAGAUGACGAGCGGCGGACGGGUGAGUAAUGCUUGGGAAUAUGCCUUAUGGUGGGGGACAACAGUUGGAAACGACUGCUAAUACCGCAUAAUGUCUACGGACCAAAGGGGGGGAUCUUCGGACCUCUCGCCAUUUGAUUAGCCCAAGUGAGAUUAGCUAGUUGGUGAGGUAAUCGCUCACCAAGGCGACGAUCUCUAGCUGGUUUGAGAGGAUGAUCAGCCACACUGGGACUGAGACACGGCCCAGACUCCUACGGGAGGCAGCAGUGGGGAAUAUUGCACAAUGGGCGCAAGCCUGAUGCAGCCAUGCCGCGUGUGUGAAGAAGGCCUUCGGGUUGUAAAGCACUUUCAGUAAGGAGGAAAGGGAUGUAGUUAAUAACUGCAUUCUGUGACGUUACUUACAGAAGAAGCACCGGCUAACUUCGUGCCAGCAGCCGCGGUAAUACGAGGGGUGCAAGCGUUAAUCGGAAUUACUGGGCGUAAAGCGUUCGUAGGCGGUUGAUUAAGCAAGAUGUGAAAGCCCAGGGCUCAACCUUGGAACUGCAUUUUGAACUGGUCAACUAGAGUACUGUAGAGGGUGGUGGAAUUUCCA